RNAcentral lists this ribosomal RNA (301 nucleotides) under uncultured bacterium. RNAcentral's name for it is "partial 16S ribosomal RNA". It matches the Rfam family "Bacterial small subunit ribosomal RNA", at positions 509 to 809 of the family's 1533-position model. The record is from RNAcentral.
CAGCCGCCACGGGAACACGUAGGUGGCGAGCGUUGUCCGGAAUUAUUGGGCGUAAAGGGAGCGCAGGCGGACAUAUAAGUCCAUCUUAAAAGUGCGGGGCUCAACCCCGUGAGGGGAUGGAAACUGUAUGCCUUGAGUGCAGGAGAGGAAAGCGGAAUUCCCAGUGUAGCGGUGAAAUGCGUAGAUAUUGGGAGGAACACCAGUGGCGAAGGCGGCUUUCUGGACUGUAACUGACGCUGAGGCUCGAAAGCCAGGGGAGCGAACAGGAUUAGAUACCCCAGUAGUCCCUGUCUCUUAUACA